RNAcentral lists this ribosomal RNA (700 nucleotides) under uncultured beta proteobacterium. RNAcentral's name for it is "bacterial SSU rRNA". It matches the Rfam family "Bacterial small subunit ribosomal RNA", at positions 79 to 776 of the family's 1533-position model. Lineage: Bacteria; Pseudomonadati; Pseudomonadota; Betaproteobacteria. The record is from RNAcentral.
UUGCACCUGGUGGCGAGUGGCGAACGGGUGAGUAAUACAUCGGAACGUACCUUAUCGUGGGGGAUAACGCAGCGAAAGCUGUGCUAAUACCGCAUACGCCCUGAGGGGGAAAGCGGGGGAUCGAAAGACCUCGCGCGAUUAGAGCGGCCGAUGCCUGAUUAGCUUGUUGGUGGGGUAAAAGCCCACCAAGGCGACGAUCAGUAGCUGGUCUGAGAGGACGAUCAGCCGCACUGGGACUGAGACACGGCCCAGACUCCCACGGGAGGCAGCAGUGGGGAAUUUUGGACAAUGGGGGAAACCCUGAUCCAGCAAUGCCGCGUGAGUGAAGAAGGCCUUCGGGUUGUAAAGCUCUUUUGCCAGGGAAGAAACACCGGCUCUAACACAGUCCGGGAAUGACGGUACCUGAAGAAUAAGCACCGGCUAACUACGUGCCAGCAGCCGCGGUAAUACGUAGGGUGCGAGCGUUAAUCGGAAUUACUGGGCGUAAAGCGUGCGCAGGCGGUUAUACAAGACAGGCGUGAAAUCCCCGGGCUUAACCUGGGAGUGGCGCCUGCGACUGUAUAGCUAGAGUGUGUCAGAGGGGGGUAGAAUUCCACGUGUAGCAGUGAAAUGCGUAGAUAUGUGGAGGAAUACCAAUGGCGAAGGCAGCCCCCUGGGAUAACUCUGACGCUCAUGCACGAAAGCGUGGGGAGCAAACAGG